GACGAACGCUGGCGGCGUGCUUAACACAUGCAAGUCGAACGGAAAGGCCCUGCUUUUGUGGGGUGCUCGAGUGGCGAACGGGUGAGUAACACGUGAGUAACCUGCCCUUGACUUUGUGAUAACUUCAGGAAACUGGGGCUAAUACCGGAUAGGAGCUCCUGCUGCAUGGUGGGGGUUGGAAAGUUUCGGCGGUUGGGGAUGGACUCGCGGCUUAUCAGCUUGUUGGUGGGGUAGUGGCUUACCAAGGCUUUGACGGGUAGCCGGCCUGAGAGGGCGACCGGCCACAUUAGGACUGAGAUACGGACCAGACGCCUACGGGAGGCAGCAGGGGGGAAUAUUGCACAGUGGGGGGGAGCCUGAUGCGGCAACGCCGCGUGCGGGAUGACGGCCUUCGGGUUGUAAACCGCUUUCGCCUGUGACGAAGCGGGAGUGACGGUAAUGGGUAAAGAAGCACCGGCUAACUACGUG
This 468-nucleotide ribosomal RNA is filed under the name uncultured bacterium. RNAcentral describes it as "partial 16S ribosomal RNA". It matches the Rfam family "Bacterial small subunit ribosomal RNA", at positions 28 to 507 of the family's 1533-position model. The record is from RNAcentral.